UGAAUACUGGUCAUAACCAAGCGCCCUCAAACAUCUCUACCUGAGCUUCUUCCCAACUUUCUUGAGUACUUUUCUGCCAAACUACAUGACCACUCCAUCAGUUUCGCUCUAGAGAGAAAACUUGUGAAGGUUUCGGCUCAAAGAUGAAGUUAUCCAGAUAGAUCGAAUUUCAAAGGAAGCUUAAGAAACUUGUGCAGCGUGGCCUACGGCAUCCGGCGGCGGCGUCAAGGGCGAGCGGUGUUGGCAAUGGGCAGAGGUAGAACACGGGAGAGACUCAGAGAUUUGGAACAGUGAUUGGCGUCAAGCAAUGAGGGUUCGGGCAUGCAGCGUCGGCGACUAGCGUCCAGCGGCGUCCGGUGGCGGCAGCCUUGAGGGAGAGCGGCAUCCGGCGGCGUAAAGGUUCUAGGUCAGAAUGAAGGGAAAUUGUAUUUGGGGCUCCUUUUGGAGCCCUAACCGGUUCCCGGAAAAAAGGAACCGGGAACCGAAACCGCUCCUUUAAAAACCAGGAACCGAACCAGAACCUCCGGUUCCUGCUUCUACCCGGAAACCGCGCUCACCCCUACUUGAUAUCACCAAAAAAAUCACGUUAUAGAAUGCCCAGGCCACCUCUAUUGGCCUUUUUACCAUAGUUAUACCAUUAAAGUUUUCAGUAACGUGUCUGAGAAUAAGUGCAAUAUCAUGGAAAAAUCCCCAUAUUGGGAUCUUUGUUGUUCUUCAAAUUAUAAUUUCGUCCCAUAACACGUUAGAAGAUUAGGGUUCAUUUUAAGAACAC
Molecule: long non-coding RNA, 772 nt
Filed under: Eucalyptus grandis
Lineage: Eukaryota; Viridiplantae; Streptophyta; Magnoliopsida; Myrtales; Myrtaceae
Description: long non-coding RNA (EGRA_LNC004246)
Source: RNAcentral